Long non-coding RNA from Gallus gallus (chicken), 396 nucleotides. The record is from Ensembl. NCBI's taxonomy places the organism in Eukaryota, Metazoa, Chordata, Aves, Galliformes, Phasianidae.
AAAUUUGCGAUAAGGGUAUGAUGUUUCCUUUUUCUCAUUGACCUUUAAUCUUAUUUAAGGGGAAAGAAAGAUAUAAUUCUUGUUCUUUGGCCAUUCUGGGGGUGAAUUCAUCAGGAUUCCCUUCAGUCAACUUAACAGCAAGUAACACCUGCAGUGGCAAUGAAUGGCCUAUAUAUGUUAAUUAUGGAGUAAUAUUUCACAACAGAGUAUUUCUAUCUCCUUGGAGACAGACCUAGCUGCAGAAUUGUCACAGUCUCACUGAUUUCCCUCUCAAGCUGCAGUUGUCCCAUGGACUAUAAAUUUUUGUGUCUUCACUUUUGCAGCUUUAAGAUGUUCCUCUCACAAGAGGAAGAAGUUUAAUCUCCAGGAAUUUCACCUGACAGCCACAACUUUUUG